RNAcentral lists this ribosomal RNA (460 nucleotides) under uncultured bacterium. RNAcentral describes it as "partial 16S ribosomal RNA". It matches the Rfam family "Bacterial small subunit ribosomal RNA", at positions 338 to 795 of the family's 1533-position model. The record is from RNAcentral.
CCUACGGGAGGCAGCAGUGAGGAAUAUUGGUCAAUGGGCGCGAGCCUGAACCAGCCAAGUAGCGUGAAGGAUGACUGCCCUACGGGUUGUAAACUUCUUUUAUAAAGGAAUAAAGUGAGGUACGCGUGCCUUUUUGUAUGUAUUUUAUGAAUAAGGAUCGGCUAACUCCGUGCCAGCAGCCGCGGUAAUACGGAGGAUUCGAGCGUUAUCCGGAUUUAUUGGGUUUAAAGGGAGCGUAGAUGGGUUGUUAAGUCAGAUGUGAAAGUUUGCGGCUCAACUGUAGAAUUGCUAUUGAUACUGGCAGCCUUGAGAACAGUUGAGGUAGGCGGAAUUCGUGGUGUAGCGGUGAAAUGCUUAGAUAUCACAAAGAACUCCGAUUGCGAAGGCAGCCUACUAAGCUGCCCCUGACAUUGAUGCUCGAAAGUGUGGGUAUCAAACGGGAUUAGAUACCCGGGUAGUC